RNAcentral lists this ribosomal RNA (406 nucleotides) under uncultured bacterium. Its description in RNAcentral is "partial 16S ribosomal RNA". It matches the Rfam family "Bacterial small subunit ribosomal RNA", at positions 29 to 526 of the family's 1533-position model. The record is from RNAcentral.
AUUGAACGCUGGCGGCAGGCCUUACACAUGCAAGUCGAGCGAGCGGCGGACGGGUGAGUAAUCGCUGGGAAACCGCUAGCUGGAGGGGGAUACCCACUAGAAUCGGUAGCUACUCACACAUCCCAUCUGAUGUGUACCGAUGGGAUUAGCUGGUAGGGGGGGUAACGGCUAACCAGGGCGUCGAUCCCUAGCUGGUCUGAGAGGACGACCAGCCACACUGGGACUGAGACACGGCCCAGACUCCUACGGGAGGCAGACGUGGGGAAUAUUGAACAAUGGGGGAAAGCCUGAUGCAGCCAUGCCGCGGGUAUGAAGAAGGCCUGCGGGUUGUAAAGUACUUUCAGCGGGGAGGCGUUACCUGCAGAAGAAGCACCGGCUAACUCCGUGCCAGCAGCCGCGGUAAUAC